This is a long non-coding RNA of Phragmites australis (common reed), 759 nucleotides long. RefSeq lists it as uncharacterized. The transcript is spliced from 3 exons. Lineage: Eukaryota; Viridiplantae; Streptophyta; Magnoliopsida; Poales; Poaceae. The record is from RefSeq and is a predicted model, not a curated record.
GACGUGCCUGUGGCACUCCAUCGCGGCAGCUCAGUGGGAGGUGCGGUGCGGCAGAUCUGUGGCGCCGGUGGCCGCUUCUUCCUCCCCUCUAGCAGGUUUUCGUUUGGUCCCGCCGCGGUCGGUUACGCUGGGUACUUGGCCAUGGCGGCGGCUACACGCGGCGGCGAUGAGUACACUCCGAUCCGACGACCAAAUCGCAAGCACCAGAAUUGGUCAGGUAGGUAGAGGUGCUUUGAGAUGGGCUUCAGCUGAUACUGUUUGGAAAAUGGAAUUGAUUUCUUCUUGCAGAUCGUGUGGGCAGAGGUGCUUGAGAUCCCCCAAUAGGAGCAAAAGGUGUGAGACUCUUCUUAUUUGGUCAUGUUGUUCCCAUCCGCACGAGGCAUUCUAACACUAGUACUGAGGAGCUUGAGAUGAACAUGAGACGCACAGGGAGCAAUUCAGUACUCUAUUUUUCUCUGAGUAAGAACAUGCCGAAAAUACCUAGCUACAUAGGUUUAAGUAUGUAUUUGUUGGCUGUGAUAAAACUACACAAAUCUUUACUAACAUGGAUGUAUACAAGCUGUCGCUUUUACUACACAAAUCUGUUGGCUUGGUGCAGAAAUUAGCAAAGAUGACAACUUAUUGAAGAUGGGCCUUCCGACAAGUGAUGAAAUGCAGAAGGAAGAAAUUGCCUGCGUAUGCAAAGAUGAUGGCCAAAUUGGGGGGCCUCAAACUAUUCGCAAAGACUCAAUUUGGCUACAAUACUUUUAGUUAGAAUGA